RNAcentral lists this ribosomal RNA (325 nucleotides) under uncultured Lactobacillus sp. RNAcentral describes it as "bacterial SSU rRNA". It matches the Rfam family "Bacterial small subunit ribosomal RNA", at positions 373 to 688 of the family's 1533-position model. Lineage: Bacteria; Bacillati; Bacillota; Bacilli; Lactobacillales; Lactobacillaceae. The record is from RNAcentral.
CCGCGCAAUUUGGAGGGGAGAACCGCCCGCGUGCAGUGAAGAAAGGUUUCGGCUCGUAAAGCUCUGUUGGUAGUGAAGAAAGAUAGAGGAGUAACUGGCCUUUAUUUGACGGUAAUUACUUAGAAAGUCACGGCUAACUACGUGCCAGCAGCCGCGGUAAUACGUAGGUGGCAAGCGUUGUCCGGAUUUAUUGGGCGUAAAGCGAGUGCAGGCGGUUCAAUAAGUCUGAUGCGAAAGCCUUCGGCUCAACCGGAGAAUUGCAUCAGAAACUGUUGAACUUGAGUGCAGAAGAGGAGAGUGGAACUCCAUGUGUAGCGGUGUAAUA